RNAcentral lists this small nuclear RNA (107 nucleotides) under Octodon degus (degu). Lineage: Eukaryota; Metazoa; Chordata; Mammalia; Rodentia; Octodontidae. The record is from RNAcentral.
GUGCUCGCUUCAGCAGCACAUAUACUAAAAUUGGAAAGAUACAGAGAAGACUAGCAUGGCCCCUGUGCAAGGAUGACAUGCAAAUUUGUGAAGCAUUCCAUAUUAAA